UAAACUGAUGACUGCAUAGUUCAACUGAUCAUACUGAUGACAUACUGUAAAUUAGUCUUUCGCUCCUAUCUGAUACAUUUA
RNAcentral lists this small nucleolar RNA (81 nucleotides) under Eurytemora carolleeae. RNAcentral's name for it is "small nucleolar RNA snR60/Z15/Z230/Z193/J17". It matches the Rfam family "Small nucleolar RNA snR60/Z15/Z230/Z193/J17". Rfam says of the family: The members of this family belong to the C/D class of snoRNAs which contain the C (UGAUGA) and D (CUGA) box motifs. Most of the members of the box C/D family function in directing site-specific 2'-O-methylation of substrate RNAs. The family includes the yeast snoRNA snR60 (also known as Z15) and the corresponding human guide snoRNA U80 (SNORD80). Lineage: Eukaryota; Metazoa; Arthropoda; Copepoda; Calanoida; Temoridae. The record is from RNAcentral.